ACUAAGCUGUUCUUGACUAGUAAGUGAUAUAAAAGGCUACACAAGUGCAUUGCAAGGUAAUGGAUGUUGCUAGCAGGACCUGAACUUUUGCAUUUCCUGGCUUCAAACUGCAGCCUUAACAGUGAAAUAAGUCUUUUGCAUUGAAUUAGUCUCGUACUUUUCUACCACUUCCAUCACAGGAGCUCAAAUUCACACACAUAUGCUCUAUCUUUUCAGGGCCAGGUACAAUUCCAGCUGACACGUGACGUGUGCAGUCACUAGGGCUUUCUGCUGGGCACCUUCAGUCCUGCGUGGUCAGGCCGAGCACCUUGAAGUCCACACAGAGGACUGCUCUAUUUAUGCAGCAGCCGAUGAGAAUGCAACCAGCAGUGCAUGUUAACAGAGGGUCAUGCAAAAGGAAAACACGGUACCAAACAUUU
Oxyura jamaicensis (ruddy duck) is the source of this 419-nucleotide long non-coding RNA. RefSeq lists it as uncharacterized. Lineage: Eukaryota; Metazoa; Chordata; Aves; Anseriformes; Anatidae. The transcript is spliced from 2 exons. The record is from RefSeq and is a predicted model, not a curated record.